This 767-nucleotide ribosomal RNA is filed under the name uncultured bacterium. Its description in RNAcentral is "bacterial SSU rRNA". It matches the Rfam family "Bacterial small subunit ribosomal RNA", at positions 60 to 808 of the family's 1533-position model. The record is from RNAcentral.
AGUCUAGCGCGAAGUCCCGAGCAAUCGGGAUUGUAGAGCGGCGGACGGGUGAGUAACACGUGGGUAAUCUGCCUUGAAGACGGGAAUAACCCGGGGAAACCUGGGCUAAUACCCGGUAAGACCACAGCCUGGAAUCGGGCAGAGGUCAAAGGGAGUCCCGCAAGGGAAAGUUCGCUUUAAGAUGAGCCCGCGGUCCAUUAGCUAGUUGGUGAGAUAAUAGCCCACCAAGGCUACGAUGGAUAGCCGACCUGAGAGGGUGUCCGGCCACACUGGGACUGAGAUACGGCCCAGACUCCUACGGGAGGCAGCAGUAGGGAAUAUUGCGCAAUGGGCGAAAGCCUGACGCAGCAACGCCGCGUGGAGGAUGAAGUUCUUCGGAAUGUAAACUCCUUUCAUAGGGGACGAAACGCCCCGAUUAUGUCGGGGUUUGACGGUACCCUUAGAAGAAGCACCGGCUAACUCCGUGCCAGCAGCCGCGGUAAUACGGGGGGUGCAAGCGUUGUUCGGAAUCACUGGGCUUAAAGGGUGUGUAGGCGGGUAAGCAAGUCGGGUGUGAAAACUCCAGGCUUAACUUGGAGCCCGCAUUCGAAACUACUUGUCUUGAGUGCAGGAGAGGAAAGCGGAAUUCCUGGUGUAGCGGUGAAAUGCGUAGAUAUCAUGAGGAACACCGGUGGCGUAGGCGGCUUUCUGGCCUGCAACUGACGCUGAGACACGAACGCUAGGGGAGCAAACAGGAUUAGAUACCCUGGUAGUCCUAGCGGUAAACG